This 1257-nucleotide unclassified non-coding RNA is filed under the name Neodiprion pinetum (white pine sawfly). RNAcentral's name for it is "chymotrypsin-2-like, transcript variant X2". The record is from RNAcentral. Lineage: Eukaryota; Metazoa; Arthropoda; Insecta; Hymenoptera; Diprionidae.
UUAAAAGCCGAAAUUUGCAUCAGUCUUUACUACACUGGACACGAUGUACCGUUCCCUAGUCCUGCUCUUGGCUGUGGCCGCUUCCGCUUACGGCGGUAGUGUUGGCGAGCGUAUCGUCGGCGGAACAGACGCCCCCGACGGAGCUUAUCCUUACCAAGUCUCUCUGCAGACUCUCCUCAGUGGACACUUCUGCGGAGGUUCAAUAAUCAACGCACGAUGGAUCCUCACCGCCGCCCACUGCGUUAUGAGUUACCAGCUAUGGCCAGGCAUGGUUCGAGUCCGCGUUGGCACCAACGACCGCCGCUCUGGUGGUUCCAUCUACAUCGCAAGAAGAGUUCUGAUCAACCCUGACUAUUCCGCAUCAGAUUUCCGCAGCGACGUUGCCUUGAUCCGACUCACCAGUAGCAUCACUUUUACCGAAAAAGUCCAGCCAAUCGCUUUGCCCACAGAAGAUUUCACCAAGGUCAACUAUCCCGCAGUGCUGACCGGUUGGGGAAGCAUCGCCUUUCCAAGCGGCAGCAGUCCCAGACGCCUCCAGCACAUCACCCUGAACAUAAUCGACCAGGAAGCGUGUUUGGCCAGAGACUGGAGAACCUCGGAAAGCAACAUCUGCACGCUUACGGUAGCCGGAGAGGGCGCCUGUCACGGGGAUUCGGGCGGUCCGCUAGUCGCCGACGGAGUCCAGGUUGGAAUCGUUUCAUGGGGAACACCAUGCGCGGUUGGUGAACCGGACGUAUUUGCCCGCGUCUGGAGCUUCAUCGACUGGAUAAACGAAAACGUGAACUGACGCGGUGCCGACCCAGAAAAAGUGACGGUGUUCGCUUGGAGUUACACCAAAGUGCAAUUUUCUGAUUCGAAUAGUCGCUGCCUGGGUUUAAGCAGCGAAUUGCUCAAAAGAACAGCUCGAGUUUAUCGCAACAGCAAUUACGGAACUGUGACAACGUUUUAUGGUGGUGCACAUGAACUUGGAAAUCGAAUAUUGGUAGAAUGUGGGAAAGAGUCCAGCACGGAUUUGCAAGGAAGUUAUUUACCACCAUCUUGUCUUUCGUUCGUUAGAACUUUUUUAAUCGAUCACCAAUGCAGAGAAAGGGACUUAAUUCCGAACUAAAUCACUUUUUCCCCCAAUCACUCGAGCGAUCAAAAAUAUACUAUAUCAAAUAAGCGAUAGAAAGAGAAAAUCGAAAGGAAACCUGUCGGUUUCAUAAAUUAUACCUCUCUUAAGAUAAGAGAAAAAAAAAAACCGGACAAGUUUUCGCA